UGAACGCUGGCGGCAGGCCUACCACAUGCACGUCGAGCGGCUGAAGGGAGCUUGCUCCUGGAUUCAGCGGCGGACGGGUGAGUAAUGCCUAGGAAUCUGCCUGGUAGUGGGGGAUAACGUCCGGAAACGGGCGCUAAUACCGCAUACGUCCUGAGGGAGAAAGUGGGGGAUCUUCGGACCUCACGCUAUCAGAUGAGCCUAGGUCGGAUUAGCUAGUUGGUGGGGUAAAGGCCUACCAAGGCGACGAUCCGUAACUGGUCUGAGAGGAUGAUCAGUCACACUGGAACUGAGACACGGUCCAGACUCCUACGGGAGGCAGCAGUGGGGAAUAUUGGACAAUGGGCGAAAGCCUGAUCCAGCCAUGCCGCGUGUGUGAAGAAGGUCUUCGGAUUGUAAAGCACUUUAAGUUGGGAGGAAGGGCAGUAAGUUAAUACCUUGCUGUUUUGACGUUACCAACAGAAUAAGCACCGGCUAACUUCGUG
This 482-nucleotide ribosomal RNA is filed under the name uncultured bacterium. RNAcentral describes it as "partial 16S ribosomal RNA". It matches the Rfam family "Bacterial small subunit ribosomal RNA", at positions 30 to 507 of the family's 1533-position model. The record is from RNAcentral.